GACGAACGCUGGCGGCGUGCCUAAUACAUGCAAGUCGGACGCUGUUGCGAACGGGUGGGUAACGCGUAGGUAACUAACUAUUAGAGGGGGAUAAAUAUUGGAAACGAUCGCUAAUACCGCAUACUAGUAGCUGGACCUGCGUUGUAUUUGCUAGUAGGUAGGGUAAUGGCCUAUCUAGGCAAUGAUACAUAGCCGACCUGUGAGGGUGAUCGGCCACACUGUGACUCAGACACGGCGCAGACUCCUACGGGAGGCAGCAGUAGGGAAUCUUCGGCAAUGGGGGGAAACCUGACCGGGCGACGCCGCGUGAGUGUGGAAAAUUUUCGGAUCGUGAAGCUCUGUUGUAUAGGGAACGGUACUUAACCAGAAAGGGACGGCUAACUACGUGCCAGCAGCCGCGGUAAUAC
Molecule: ribosomal RNA, 407 nt
Filed under: uncultured bacterium
Lineage: Bacteria
Description: partial 16S ribosomal RNA
Rfam family: Bacterial small subunit ribosomal RNA
Source: RNAcentral